CCUUCCUCACCUCCCAAGCUGCUUGGAUUACAGGUGUGUGCCACCGUGCCUGGCUGCAUAUAUGUUUACAGUUGUAAUAUUUUUAGACACAUGGACUCUUGUACCAUUAUAAAAUGUUCUUUGUUAUCUCUAGAAGCAUAGAAUCUCUCCCCUACAAAUGAGCUGGGGCUAGGGUAAUUGGGUCCCCAUUAUUCUUGGCCCUCAAAUCUAGUAUGGAAAUUCUACCCUAGGAGUGGAGGCUGAAUGGAGGAGGUUGAUCCUCCCUACAGAAUCAACCCCAAAAGAACUUCUGAAACACAGGGCUGGGGAGGGAAACAAGAAAGGUCAAGAGUCUGUCUCUUCCCCAGACAGGGAGCUAGGCAGGGAGGGAGGCUCUUCUUGGCCUCACUAGCUUAGGGUAGUGUUUCCAAAACAUGGAACUGGGAGUGGUGGUUGAAGUUCAAAUGUCACAGGCUUCUGUUGUUCUAAUGACACUUAGUAGUUUUUUUCUUGAGUGACUAUUACUCCCUUGGUCUUAUACCCUUAGGAUAAUUUCCAGAGAGCUUAAAUAAUUAUAAAAAAUAAUUUCCACCCCAUUCUUGCUUUGUUGGAGACAGUCUGCCACAUUCCUCCCUCUGCCUUUUGGGCAGCCCUGUCCCUCCAGGACAAAUGGCAAAAGAGAUAAAUAUGACUAAGUAGAGCCAGUUCAUGUUGAGCACCACCUAGAAAUUCCUGACUGUUGAGAUUGCCAUGACAAGAAAUAAGGAAAAACAAGACAUAAUCCCUGGCAGCACCAAAUUAUAAAGAAAUAGAGCUGGUUGCUGAGUGGCCACAUAUUUGCCUUCUACUUCUCUGAGAGAUCAAUCUCAUUACUCAGCAACUCAAAAUUAUGGCAGCAAUAAAAGCGCAAUUGCAUUUGUGUGAAGGCCUAACCCAGCCCAGUGCUCCGGAUUCCUUAUACGCUCUGUGGGCAAAAGCCAAGUCAGGAGCCUGGUUAGUAAGGGACGGUAGAUAUAAAAAAAAAAUUUCUAAUUAUGUAGUCAAGAGAGAAAGUGGAACCUGGUGGAAAUGAAGAAAUGCCAUUCCCACCCUGGGUGACUCCUGUCAGAAGAGGAGCUUGGUGGCAGUGUGCUGAGGGAGGCUGAGGUGUCAGAUCCAGAGGCCGGACGUGUUUACUGGGCAAGGGUGUUAACUUGGUGUUGUAAUGAUCAGAAGUCCAAGGACACCCCACAGCCAGGCAAGGAUGGGCCAGGAAAGGAUGGCAGUGGGGUGGGUAGUUAGUCUUGGCAGAUGGUUAGCUGCAGCAGAUAGAUCCAGCUGACCCCACCCUGCAUAGCCCUGGGGGAACGGAAACCGAGGCACAAGACAGAUCUAGUG
Molecule: long non-coding RNA, 1356 nt
Filed under: Marmota monax (woodchuck)
Lineage: Eukaryota; Metazoa; Chordata; Mammalia; Rodentia; Sciuridae
Source: RNAcentral